Long non-coding RNA from Biomphalaria glabrata, 4182 nucleotides. RefSeq lists it as uncharacterized. NCBI's taxonomy places the organism in Eukaryota, Metazoa, Mollusca, Gastropoda, Planorbidae. The record is from RefSeq and is a predicted model, not a curated record. The transcript has 10 exons.
UUGAGUAUUGAUUACCAAUCAACUACUAGCCUGGAAGAUAAAAGCCAAAGCUGUAAACAGACAGGUCAGGUAAAUAUAUGAAUGAAGAAAUUGAAACUAGAAGUAAACAUCAUGGGAAGUCUAAUUAUAGGGCAAGUAUUUUUCCUUCAUAUCUUAUUUAACAUAGUCAAACCAUGCAAUACUUAUAGGCUUAACUAUUGUUUUCAUAGAAACAAUGUUAUUUUAAAUAUCAUGAGAUAGUGUAUUUAAGAGAUAUUGUAGUUCAAGUUUCCAUAUUUAAUCAGCUUAACAAGUGCACAUUCUCUGCUGCCAACAGUACCAAUUUGUCAUCCAAGCAACAAAUAUUCCUUGGUAAUCUGCUAUCAGAUGACAGUUAUCUCUUUGGCAUUUUUAUGAAUUAAAGCUUUCAAAGCCAAAGUAAGACUUAAUUUUUUCUUUUCUUUAACUGCUAAUUCUAAAAUAAUUUAUCAUUGCAUGUUAAAAAUAACUUGUUAUACAUUUUUCUGUGUUUUUGGUCAAGCUUCAGAUUUGCUUAGCAUAUUCCUGUACUACAUAUCAACAAAUGUUUGAUGGUUUGUCUGGUUCAUCUCUUAACACUAUGAAGAUGGCUACACUAAUCUUAACAAGCAAACAUUCUGUUGCCAACAGUACCAAUUUGUCAUCCUAUCCAAGCAACUACUAUUCCUUGGUAAUCUGCUAUCAGAUGAUUACAGUUUUCUCUUUGGCAUUUGUAUGAAUUAAAGCAUUCAAAGCCAAACCUUAGAUUUGGUUAGCAUAACCCUGAACUGCAUAUCAACAAAUGUCUAAUGGUCUGUCUGGUUCAUUUCUCAAGACUAUGAAGAUGGCUACACAGGUAUCAGCUAUCAGCAGUGCACCCCUAUGAUACACAAGUCUUCAUUGCCAAGUCACUCUGCCAAACAGUGUGUACACCUUUCUUGCAUUGGUAGUGACCCACUUUACUGUCAUGAGUCUGGAUAUGUCAGGCCAAGGAGAUCAAGUUUGUGUCCAAGGUUACUUAGUUAAUUCUCUAAGAACAAUAGACAGACUCUACAUGCUACUGAUCUGGAGGUUAGUGGCUCAAUCAUUGUGCACUGAUUCUUCACUGAUGCCUUGAUUCUCCACUGUCAACUUUAUUGUCAUAAAGUUUAUCUAGUGAUCUACAUAUCAAGACUAAAUGGUCAAUUAAACAUGAGGUCAAGGAAAAAGGAUGAACAUUUCAAGGCUACUGAAGGAACAUUAAACGUCUCUCUCACUGUGAAAAGAUUCUACCGAUCUACAAAUGAUCAACAUGUUUUAUCUUAAGUUCGUCUGCCAUUUCUUCAAAUGGAGCCAUAUUAAGAAUAAGAUUCUUUUUGUUCUUCCUUAGGUUCAAAUGUAUCAGUUGUUUUUGUUGACAGAUAUCAAGUCAUUUCAGUUCUCAAUUAUUUUGUGCACUAAGUUACAAGAAAAAAUUCAAGCAAAAGAGGUCACUACACUAAGACUUUGUCUUCUCAUAAGAAUGGAUGGCUGCCUGGUCAUGUGAUAUGUGUGCUGGACUGUGUGUGGUCAUCUUGAUGCUCAUAUCUUGCCUGAUGACAUUUAUUCUGCUGGACAUUUGGUCAAGGAAGUAGAUUCUCUUCAGUUCUCAAGAAACAUUCAAAACAUGUCAAACAUUUGACAAGAAUAUCAAACAAGUGCAGUGUACAUACCAACAUGAUGAAGAUGUAGACCAACAUGAUGAAGAUGUAGACCAACAUGAUAAAGAUGUAGACCAGCAUGAUGAAGAUGUAGACCAGCAUGAUGAAGAUGUAGACCAGCAUGAUGAAGAAGUAGACCAGCAUGAUGAAGAUGUAGACCAACAUGAAAUUGUAGGCCAACAUGAAAUUGUAGGCUGACAUGAUGAAGAUGUAGACUGACAUGAAGAUGAAAUGUAAACUAAAAUAUUCAUCAAGAGAUGUAUGGAAUAAAAAGUGAACAUCUUGAGAGGGAAAACAAUUCCUAGAGGCAAAGACACAGACACAGUAGAUACAUAAGAGAUUGUUUCCUUUUCUACCAUCAUUUAGAGCCUUUUUUGUGAGGGAACCUGCAUCUGAAAGAACUGAACAUUUCCCUAAUGCUACUUCAAAUUCAGAUCUCCUCCCAACCUCAGGCUGAGUACCCGUGGUCACCUACUUUGUUACAUUACCAUAGCACUACAGACAGUGGAAAACAAAUUAUAUGAAGGAAUGCAACCACCAUCAGAUAUUGUUGUCUUUACAGACUCCCAAUCUACUCUUCAAGAACUUAACAGCAGCACCUCACAGCUCAAGAGAGUUGACAACACUCAUUGUGAUAAUCCAUCAGAUGAUAUCAAAAUUAAAUAUUAAUAUCACACUACAGUGGAUCCCUGGACACAUUGUCAUCAUGGGAAAUGAAAAGGCAGAUAAGCUAUCAAAGGCAGGUUCAUCUAUGGAACAACCAGAUAGACCUGUUAACUACCUCACCCUAAGGUCAAUGUUAGUCAACAAUCAUAAAGAGGAGUGGCUCAACCAAUGGGCAUCAGGAAACACAGGCAGAGCCAUGUACAAAGAAAUGACUACACCUAACAAACUGGACAGUAUUAACUUCCUCCCCUGCAAAGAACAAUCUACAAUUUUCCAACUAAGAACAGGACACACUCCACUAUUAAAUUACCACCUGAACAAAAUAAACUCCACACAACUCCUCCUAUGCAGACACUGCGCCCACCCCUUUGAAACCGUAAACCAUAUCCUCUUUGAAUGCUCCUCCCUAAUCCACCUUAGGCAGACCCUACUUCCACUACAGCCCAACAUAACCAACACCCUGUACGGCAGUGCUGAACAACUGAAGAAAACAGCACACUUUUUUUCAUUGGCACAGUCUGCAAAAGAGCUUACAGCUCAGCAGCAAUAAAGCUGGCUAGAAGAAGAAAAAAGGUUACAUUACAAGAAGUGGUCGCAAAGUCAGAAAACCUAACAGAUGACAAUGAGUAGAACAAUCAUUUCUGAUACAGGUACAAGAACUCAAGUGAUGUACUUUGUAAGAACUAAUUAGGUGGAAUCACCAUAAUUGAUUUCUAUCUUGUUCUAUAUAUAGGUAUAUCUUGACAAUCAGUCCAGUCAUUGUUCAUUCUUUUUUAAUAUUCCUUUUGUUCCCUUAAUCAUCUUGCUGUUUCAGUUAAUGUUUUUAUCUUUUUUCUUUUUGGAGGAGGGAGGGGCUGUGGUAUAUUAUUAUUAUUAUUAUUGAAGUCGCUACAUUAUGCUUUUAAUUCAAUUUAUCAUCUCCCCUUCUUUUGUGUGCUAUCAUAUUAAUGUUCAUUAGUGUCACAUCCAUGCACAAUUUGUUCUAUGCUUUUUAUAGUGUAAAUAGUGACUUGACAAUAUUUAGAUCAAUUAUAUGUUAUAUUAUAUUUAAACUAAAACUGUUAGCAUUUUCUAUGAUGUUAUUAAUAUGAAUGUGUUUGUGUGUUGCUAUGAAUGCAUUUUAAGUUUUAGUCUAAAAUCAUAAAAAUAAGAAAUUGUUUCAUAAACAAAGAUUAUAUUAAUAUUUAAUAUUGUCAGACUUCACUAUAGCAUUGAGUUCAUCCCCAUAGUCUAUUUAAAACUUUCAAAUACUAAUUCACUUUGUCUUAUCUAAUGGUGAUCAUGGGGGGUAUCCGUUAUCCAUAGUCUCUGAGGAUGUAAUCUCUAUUUCUGAUGGAACACAUGUAAAACCAAGAAAACAAACAGUAGACCUAGACUUUAUUAACAGGUCAUGAAAGCAUUUUUUUAUAAUUGUGAACUGAUGUUCUCAGAGCUAUUUUUAUGUAUUUCUAUUUUUGCUACUUUUGUAGACUAGUGCUAAGCUGUAUGCUUAUACUUCCGCCUAUUAUUAUAUGGGUUAGGGCGAUGCUGUUUCCUGUACUGUUGACCAGAGUGUGUCAGUUUUAAUUAUUCUGUACUUGGAACUGCCUUUAAGUUUCAGAAUUAUUUUUUUUUCUAUAUGUAAAGCUACUUUAUAUAUAUAGUUUUAUAUUAUGGUACAUUAUUUUUCUAAUUGAAACAACUGUCAAAAUAAUUGGCAGUUUGUUUUUUUAAAGUUUGUUUUAAAAUGAUGGCCACUUCUAAUGUUUAUGUACUAGAUCUUUUCCUAAUUUUUGUUUUUUUAUCUGCAGUGUUUUGUAACUGCUGCUUUGCUCAUUUGAAUUAAAGUAUCAUUUUGUUA